RNAcentral lists this ribosomal RNA (396 nucleotides) under uncultured bacterium. RNAcentral describes it as "bacterial SSU rRNA". It matches the Rfam family "Bacterial small subunit ribosomal RNA", at positions 29 to 430 of the family's 1533-position model. The record is from RNAcentral.
AUUGAACGCUGGCGGCAUGCUUUACACAUGCAAGUCGAACGGUAACAGGCCUUCGGGUGCUGACGAGUGGCGAACGGGUGAGUAAUGCAUCGGAACGUGCCCAAUCGUGGGGGAUAACGUAGCGAAAGUUACGCUAAUACCGCAUAAGCCCUGAGGGGGAAAGCAGGGGAUCGCAAGACCUUGCGCGAAUGGAGCGGCCGAUGUCAGAUUAGCUAGUUGGUGGGGUAAAGGCCUACCAAGGCGACGAUCUGUAGCGGGUCUGAGAGGAUGAUCCGCCACACUGGGACUGAGACACGGCCCAGACUCCUACGGGAGGCAGCAGUGGGGAAUUUUGGACAAUGGGCGCAAGCCUGAUCCAGCCAUGCCGCGUGCGGGACGAAGGCCUCGGUUGUAACC